RNAcentral lists this transfer RNA (68 nucleotides) under Marmota monax (woodchuck). Its description in RNAcentral is "tRNA.Gly". Lineage: Eukaryota; Metazoa; Chordata; Mammalia; Rodentia; Sciuridae. The record is from RNAcentral.
GGAUUGUGGCUCAGUGGUAGAACACUUGCCUACCAUGCAUGAGGUAAUGGGUUCUAUCCUCAGCACCA